Long non-coding RNA from Cyprinus carpio carpio, 1213 nucleotides. The record is from Ensembl. Lineage: Eukaryota; Metazoa; Chordata; Actinopteri; Cypriniformes; Cyprinidae.
CUGCCGUCCAGGAGGACGUUCCCGAGCGGGCCGCUGCCGUCCAGGAGGACGUUCCCGAGCGGGCCGCUGCCGUCCAGGAGGACGUUCCCGAGCGGGCCGCUGCCGUCCAGGUGGACGUGCCCGAGGUUCCCGAGGCGGGGCUCGAGGUGGUUCGGGAUGCCGAGGCGGUGCCCGAGGCUGUGCCCGAUGCCGAGGCGGUGCCUGAUGCGGUGGCCGAGGCGGUUCCCGAUGCAAUGUCCGAUGCCGAGGCGGUGCCCGUUGCCGAGGCGGUGCCCGAGGCCGAGGCGGUGCCCGAUGCCGAGGCGGUGCCCGAUGCCGAGGCGGUGCCCGAUGCCGAGGCGGUGCCCGAGGCGGUGCCCGAUGCCGAGGCGGUGCCCGAUGCGGUGCCGCAGGUCGAGGCGGUGGCCAAUGCCGUUCCGCAGGUCGAGGCGGUGCCCGAUGUUGUUCCAGAGACCGAGGUGGUGCCCGAGUUGCUUCCAGAGACCGAGGCGGUGCCCGAUGCGCAGGCCGAGGUCGUUCCCGAGGCGGUGGCCGAUGCGCAGGCCGAGGUCGUUCCGAGGUGGUGCCCGAUGCAGAGAUCGUUCCCGAGGCGGUGUCCUUGUCCAAGGCCGUUCCCGAGGCCGUGCCCGAGGCCGUUCCCGAGGCGGGGGCCUUGUCCAAUGUCGUUCCUGAGGCCGUUCCUGAGGCCAUUCCAGAGGCGGUGGCCGAUGCUGUUCCGGAGGCCGAUGCGGGGCCCAGGAUGGCUCCGGAGGCGAUACCCGUGUCCAAGGCCGUUCCCGAGGCGGUGCCCUUGUCUGAGGCCGUUCCUGAGGUCGUUCCUGAGACCGUUCCCGAGGCGGUGUCCUGGUCCGAUGCCGUUCCUGAGGCCGUUCCUGAGGCCAUUCCAGAGGCGGUGGCCGAUGCUGUUCCGGAGGCCGAUGCGGGGCCCAGGAUGGCUCCGGAGGCGAUACCCGUGUCCAAGGCCGUUCCCGAGGCGGUGCCCUUGUCUGAGGUCGUUCCUGAUGCCGUUCCCAAUGCCGUGACCGGGCCAUCGCCACAGCCUGCUCCUUACUGGCUCCCCGAUUGGCAGGUUCCGUUCGGGCCACUCAAAUGGCGAAUUCCUCCCUGGCCGUCUGCACAACGAGAAUGGACUGAUCCACCGUGGCCACCUGAACUGCCUGGCCCCUCGUGGUCCCCUGAACUUUCGGGUCCACCGUGGCCACCUGAACUGCCU